RNA transcript from Aethalodelphis obliquidens (Pacific white-sided dolphin), 6371 nucleotides. RefSeq lists it as uncharacterized. The transcript has 2 exons. Lineage: Eukaryota; Metazoa; Chordata; Mammalia; Artiodactyla; Delphinidae. The record is from RefSeq and is a predicted model, not a curated record.
UUUGUCUCUCACUGAAUUCUUUCUGCAAUGAGACAUCAAGAACCUGAGCUUUAUUAAGUCCUGAAACCAGCUGUGUGAUCUCAGUUAAAAGACAGUGGGUUCUGGCUGGGUUAGAGUCCCAGCCCACGGGUUCAAGUUCCAAUCUGAGUUUAGGCUGGGUUUGAGUCCCGGCACGUGGGUUCAAGUCCCAAUCCGAGGUGCUCAGUUUCAUUGACUCAGAAAGAAACUUUGACCUUCCCCCUUACUGCCUAAAUCAUUUAGAUAGAGGGGCUGUUCCUGGAAUAGAGCUAUCACCAGAGGUAUCUGCAAAGAAUGUGGGCUAGGUGUGGUGGGAGGAAAUUCUAGGAGGGGUCUAGAGAUCAGAGUCCACUCUGUAUCCCAUUGUCUCUGCCUGGUUCAUGAACAUUUGUUUACCAAACAUUUACUUUUUUAUCUGUGUCAACUGCCUUCCUCCUUUCUGAAAUUCCAACCCCCACCCUAACAUCCUCCUUUGUCUUUAGCUGAAGAUGAUAUUUAAGGUGAGUGUUUCUGCCAUUUUGGCAAGUUAAUCAGUCUUCCUGGGUCUCUUCCAUGCAUACAUGUUAUUAUAUUUUGUUUGGUUUUCUCCUGUUAAUCUGUCUCAUGUCAAUUUAAUCCUUAGGUCAGCCAGGAGAACCUAGAAGGGUAGAGGAAAAUUUCUUCCUCCCCUGAAACCGAAUCCCCCUGAAACCGAGCUCUCCCACCAAGCUUACGAUUAACCUCUAUCCAAAACGUUAUUCUCUUUCUUGUCCUGUACCUGUCCCCCUCAGGACUGAGGAGCAUCAAAGAAAAGGGGGGAAUGAAACCCUCCUGAGUACAAAAGCCUCUCCGUGUCGCCCAUUUCCUGUUUCUAGAAAAUGGCUUUUGUCUCUUAGGCCUUCUCUGAGUUCCAAAGAGCAGACACAAGCAUUGCUUAUUAGGGAAGUGAGGGAAUGCUGAAACAAAGAUAAAGCAGUUAAGUGAGGAAAAAAUGACAAUAAUUCAGUGAUAAAACAGAGUCCUAGUUCCUCUUCAAGGGAUAUAUUGACAUAACCAUCUGACACAUAAUUUGGUGUUGUUCUGCAGGAAGUAAGGCCCUCACCAAGGUGGAGGAUGGUGACUACAUGCUGAGUAUAAUCAGUAGAUCCCAAACCAGUUGGUCAGAACCAGAAGGUUGAUGAUGUCCCUGGAACACCAUCCUGUUAUCUCACUACCAACCAACCAGAAGAAAAUCAUGCACUCUGCAGCCCUCACCCCAAGUGUUGCCUUUAAAAACCCUUCCCUGAGGACCGUCGGGAAGUUCAGGUCUUUUGAGCACAAGCCACCCACUCUCCUUGCUGGGCUCUGCAAUACACGCUGUACUUUCCUUGACAACAACCCCUUGUCAGUAAAUUGGUUUUGCUUCACAUGGGUGAGCAAACCCAAGUUUAGUUUGAUAACACCCUGACACCAGCCAAGAUCCAAACCCCAGUCUAUCUUAGUCUAAAGCUGUACCAAGAACAUGCUGUGAACCCACUGUGUUCAGCUGCAAAUAACAGAACACCUGUAUAGCUGUGGCUUAAACAGAGAGGGGUUUGCAGGUCUCAGAGAGGAAGCUGAGACUGGGCAGCAUGGUCUGGGGCUCGGUUAUGCCAUCAGGGACCCAGGCUCUUAUCCUCUUUCCUCUUCUGUCACCUUUUGCAUGGAGACCUUUGUCCUCAUGUCUGUCAUCUUGUCACAGCUGCUACACCUCCCAGUAGGACAAAGGAGAAAGUGCAAAAACCUAGGCCAUCUGAGCUUUCUCUGUUUAUGACAAUAAACAAAAGCUUUAUUGGAAGCCCCUCCCCAUGACUUCUGCAUCAUCUUAUUGGCCAGACUGGGUCACACAGCCACCCCUGAAUCAUCGCUGGAAGGUGAGUGGGAAGGGGGGCUGGAGAUGGGGGCUAGUUCAACCAGCUGAUGUCUGGGCCCCAUCUCUGCAGCCUCAUGUUCCAUUUAGGUCAAUAAAUAUUUAUUGUGCACCUUCUGUUUGCCAGGUCCUGUGCAGGGCACUGGAGGCAGUCAUAGAGAUGAAUCAGAAGUAGCCACCACUCCACCCUGUUCUAGUGGAGGAGGUGAGGCUGGGGUGUCUUCUCCUGUCCAGACUCUGGUCACCCACACCCUCCACAUCCAGAGCCACUGCUUUGUCUGGGGUGGGGGUGGAUGGGUGCUAUGAUGUUGAGGAAUGUCACUGUGGGGAGUGACCCUUCAAGUAAGGUGGAUACCCCAGUAAAGGCAGUCCUGUUGGACCAUCUGAGGGUGGCUUGGGUUGUCCCAGGAGAGGCCCUGGUUGGGGGGAGGGUCCUGGGGGGAUGGUCCCGGGGGGACCUGCCUAUCUGAUCUGUCCUUGUAGGCCCUCAGUGGUGUCCUGCUCACUGACCAGGGCAUGCAAGGUGUGUGGGCACCUGUAGCUAAGGCUCCUGAUGGAGGAUGAGACUUGCCAUGUAAAACACUGGUAGGGGUGCUGGUGGCCUCUGGACACCGCUUUGGUCCCCCCAGACGUGGACCCCAGGCCCCACAGACUUCUUUCUCCACAACCCACUACAUUCCUUCCCCUCUGGAGCCCAGGAAGCUGUCCCAGCCUCGGGGUGAGAGGCCUUUCUCUGACCUAUCACAUUUCUGUCUCCUCUAAGUCAGUCUUCUGAAGUUUCUGUAACUUUUGCCAGAAACCAUCUUCCCCCCGGGCAGUGGAUAACACUGGGUCCUGCAGCUGUCAAAAUGGGGGAAAGGGUCAGGUAACAGAAAAUAGUUUUGGGGUGAGGAAGGGGCCACAAUGAUCUCGGGUGGCCUCGGCCUGCAGCAGCUUGAAGCAGGGUUUCGGUUCCUGGCCGGAGAUUGAGGUCUGGCCACAGCAGUAAGAAAGCUGAAUCCAAGCCACUAGACCACCAGGCACCAGGGGCCAGUGACAAGGCCCUGGCCCAUCAGCUGCGUAGAGAUGAAUUUCCACAUAGAGAUGGAAAGUAGUGAAACAAGUAAAGUGUUUAUUAGGAGGAAAUAGGGUACAUGUGGAUAGACACACAGGUGGGCUCAGAGAGCGAGUCACGCACUCAUGACAGUUUGAAUCACUCUUACGGAGCAUUUCUUCUGGGUUUCCUUUGGCCAAUCAUCUUGCUUUGCCUGGUUCUGAGUCCAUAUUUGGUAUAUCUCAGGGUCCUCCCCUGUGUGCACACACAUCUCUUAGCCACGAUGGAUUCCAGCGGAGAGGCUUAUGGAUGUACAAAGGCCAAGGGUUGCUGGUGGUGGAGGAGAGGGCAGAGUCAUCCUGUGGCCGGAAGGAGUGGACAACGGCGAUGGCAUGACGGGGCAAGACCUGGCAACGCCAACGGGCAUGAGUUCUGGUGGGAGGCACAACUUUCAGGGCAUCAGGCGUGCGAGGGUGGGGUGUGCGCAUGUGUGAGUAUAUGGGGGUCAGUUGGGAUGUUUCUGAAUGCAAGUGUCAGAAACCCAAAGCCACCCGAGCCGGUGUUAACAGUAGGGGUUUGCUAUUUCCUCUUACAGGAAGUCCGGCGGUCACCAGAACCAAGUCUGAGCCUACCGAUCUCACUAAGGACCCAAACUCUAUCCUCUGGUUUGCCAUGCUGUACGUUUGCUCUGUUGGCCCCUUCUGGUCAGAAGAUGGUGACAGCAGCUCAGGCAAUCAUGUGUCCUCACAGACAAAGCCCCAAGGCACGCUAGGGUUGGCCUUGUCUCCUGGUCUCUCUCUUUUCCUUCGGGGAUGGAGGAUAUUUUCCUGGAAGCCCCAGAGACUGGGAAAGCGAGGUCUGGUACUUCCAGGCUCAGGUGUGGGAGGUGAGCAUGGUCUCCAGGAAGGAGGGAGAGGCGAAUGGCUGUUGGUACAAGCUGUAGCGCCUGCUCCUUGGGUGUAUGCAGACGUGUGCAGAGGGGUGGGAGCGUCUGCAGGUGUAGCUGCUGCCUUGGGUAGGACCCGGGCCACAGGGAGUGUGGUCACCAGGCUGUGGACUUGGUUUCUUACCCUGAAUGAGCUACGGGGAGUUACAGCAUCAGAUCUGCAUUUUACAAAGAUGGUGAGAGUGGACCCGGUGGACUGCAAGGGCAGAGCCUGUUGCAAUCAUUUAGGCAAGAGCUGGAGCCCUGAGCAGUGUCAGGGGCUGCCCUGGGGUUAAGGCUGUGGCGUUUUGAGGGAUGAGGAGAGAGCAACUCCCCUUCUGCUGAGCUUCCUCCUGCCCCAGGAGCUGCUCAUUCUGAUCUCCUUUGCCGCCUCCUUCUCCUUUCCUCUCCUCCACCUGUACCCAAAGGCGGGCCCCCGGGCUCAGUCCUGAGUCCUCUUUCUUCUCCAUCAACGCCCACUUCCCAGGUGAUCUCAUCCAGUCCCGUGGUUUUAAAUGCUAUUUAUAUGCCAGUGAUACCCAAAUGGGUGACCAGCCCUGAUUCUUCCCUGAACUCUGGACUUGUUCGCCUGACAUCUCCCCUCAGAGGCCACUCCCAAACCCCUUCCCGUCUCCGCGGUCCUCUGAACCACUAGGCAUCCGGAGGCUCAGCCCGAGCUAAUUUUCUCCCAUCCCUCGUUCUGUCCACGGGCAAAUCCCGUGGCUGCUCCACUUCACCCCUGACACUCUGGUUCCGCUCACCUUCCCCUCUCGCCCAGACCCCUGUGGUGGCCCCCAAACUGGCCUCCCUGCCUCCCCCCAUUGUCCCCACACCCAGUCCGUUUCCCUCACAGCAGCCAGGGAUCAUAUUAUUGUUUUUUUAAACUUCUUAUGGGAAAUUUCAAACACACCCAAAAAAAGAGAUUAGUACAAUAACCUUAGUGUUUGUUUAUCACUCAAUUUUAGUUGUUAAUAAAACAUGCCCAGCCAGAAUGAUGUCUUUACAGUAUAAGUUUGGUGGGUUUACCCUCCUGCUUAAAACCUAAAAUCCAAUUCCUUACCAACCUCAUCCUUAACCUCUCUCCUCCUCGCUCUGGCCUCCUGGCCUCUGCUGAUCCUGGAACAUGCCACGGUGACCUCAGGGCCUUUGCACUGCUGUUUUCUAAUGGCCUGGAUCACUUCUUUCAGAUCUUUGCUUGACUGAUUUGUUCUCAACCUUGAGGUAUCCACCAUUUAGAAUGAACAAAUGUUAGAAUUUUGCCAUUAUGGCUUCUUAAUCUUUGAAAGUAGAAAAAAGGAAAAAGCAUGACAGAUGAAGCUGACAUUCUCUCUGACUUUCUCCCUCCAUCUGCUGCUCCAGGGAACCAGCUACCAUCACAAACGGGCAGGGACCUUCUAGGUCUUGUAUUUUAAGAAAGAUUUUCACUGUAUAUGUGUUCAGAACAACAUAUAAUAUGGCUUAGUGGGCUUGAAAAAAUUAUACAAAUGCUAUCAUUCCACAGCUAUGACUGUAACUUUCCCUUUUCACGUAACACCGUGUUUUUGAGAUCUGUCCACAUUGAUACACACAGAUUGCAUUCAUUUUAAUCACUGCUUAGUCAUCCCUGAGACAGAUACACCCAGUUUAUUUAUUUCCCAAUUGAUGGAAAAAUGCUACCACACGCAGUCUUGCACAUGUUUUUUCAUUCACAGGUGGAUGCUUCUGGAAGGAGUGCUUUUCAGACUGGGGUUUGCAACCCAUUAGGGGGUAGUGAAAACAACUCAAUCAGUUGUGAAAUAGAAUAGAUAGAGAAUAAAUGCAACAUUGCACGUAAUAAGGGUAAUUACUGUUUUGUUAACUUCGUGUUUCAGUUUCACGUGUCUGAGUAGUGGGCAGCUUUGUAGAGCAUACUCCUUACUGUGGGUGGCUCUCAAAGUCUGAAAACCAAGUCUGAGAGCCACCCACGGUAAGAUGUGCUGGGUCAGGGCAUGGGCAGUGUCUGAUGCUCUGGUCGACCAUGAACUCAUCCACGCACACACGGUGAAGCGUCAGACUUUUUUUGUUUUUUCAAAUGAGUAUGAGAUAGUAUCUAAUUGUGGUUUUAAUUUGCAUUUCCCUCGCUUACUAACGAAGUUGGACAUCUUUUCCUACGUUCAUUGGCUCUCUGGUUUUUCUCUUCUGUGAAGUGCCUUUAUCUAUGCGUUCUGCUGCGUCAUUUGAUUUUAUCUUACUGAUUUGUAGGUGUUCCUUAGAUAUUCCAUGUAUUCUGGCUACUGGUCCUUGGACUGUUUCAUGGGUUGCAUACAUUUCUUCCAGGCUGUCACUACCUUUUGGCUUUGCUCCUGCUGUCUCUACACCAGAUUCAGCAACAAGGAGUUUACCAGUGACUUGGGCCAGGACAGUGGCCAUGGAAGUGGGGAGGCAGGGGCUGAAGCUGUAUGGCCAGUGGCUGGUGACUGCAUGACUUCUUUCAACAAUAUCGUUUAAAUGGUCAAGUGAAGGGGCAUUGAGGAACAUUUUUUUUCUUUUAAUAAAAAUUGUAUACAUUU